This is a long non-coding RNA of Ceratosolen solmsi marchali, 236 nucleotides long. RefSeq lists it as uncharacterized. The transcript is spliced from 4 exons. The record is from RefSeq and is a predicted model, not a curated record. NCBI's taxonomy places the organism in Eukaryota, Metazoa, Arthropoda, Insecta, Hymenoptera, Agaonidae.
UUUUGUCUGAAUGUCAAUAUUGAUUAAUUAAAAUGAAACUUUUAAUAUUUUUCUUAUGUAUUGUCAUCUUUUGCUCAGUAUUUAUCGAGGAAUGCUUAGGAAGCCCACGAAAGCAAUCAUGCAUCAAUGAUUGUAAUAAAUUGGCAACAAGGAAAAGGAGGAGGAGAUGCAGACGUCACUGUUAAUAAUGACACUGAAGAGUUUCGUCAACGAUAAAUUAUCAAUAUACUGACAUA